Molecule: ribosomal RNA, 496 nt
Filed under: uncultured bacterium
Lineage: Bacteria
Description: partial 16S ribosomal RNA
Rfam family: Bacterial small subunit ribosomal RNA
Source: RNAcentral
ACGAACGCUGGCGGCGUGCCUAAUACAUGCAAGUUGAGCGCUGAAGGUUGGUACUUGUACCAACUGGAUGAGCAGCGAACGGGUGAGUAACGCGUGGGGAAUCUGCCUUUGAGCGGGGGACAACAUUUGGAAACGAAUGCUAAUACCGCAUAAAAACUUUAAACACAAGUUUUAAGUUUGAAAGAUGCAAUUGCAUCACUCAAAGAUGAUCCCGCGUUGUAUUAGCUAGUUGGUGAGGUAAAGGCUCACCAAGGCGAUGAUACAUAGCCGACCUGAGAGGGUGAUCGGCCACAUUGGGACUGAGACACGGCCCAAACUCCUACGGGAGGCAGCAGUAGGGAAUCUUCGGCAAUGGACGAAAGUCUGACCGAGCAACGCCGCGUGAGUGAAGAAGGGUUUCGGAUCGUAAAACUCUGUUGGUAGAGAAGAACGUUGGUGAGAGUGGAAAGCUCAUCAAGUGACGGUAACUACCCAGAAAGGGACGGCUAACUACGUG